AGUGAAUAGAUACCCUGGUAGUCCACGCCCUAAACUAUGUCAACUAGGUGUUGGGUGGGUAAAACCAUUUAGUACCGUAGCUAAACGCGUGAAAGUUGACCGCCUGGGGAGUACGGCCGCAAGGUUAAAACUCAAAGGAAUUGACGGGACCCGCACAAGCGGUGGAUGAUGUGGAUUAAUUCGAUGCAACGCGAAAAACCUUACCUACCCUUGACAUGCCAGGAACUUAGCCAGAGAUGGCUUGGUGCCCGAAAGGGAGCCUGGACACAGGUGCUGCAUGGCUGUCGUCAGCUCGUGUCGUGAGAUGUUGGGUUAAGUCCCGCAACGAGCGCAACCCUUGUCGUUAAUUGCCAUCAUUUGGUUGGGCACUUUAACGAGACUGCCGGUGACAACCGGA
This 397-nucleotide ribosomal RNA is filed under the name uncultured bacterium. Its description in RNAcentral is "bacterial SSU rRNA". It matches the Rfam family "Bacterial small subunit ribosomal RNA", at positions 774 to 1167 of the family's 1533-position model. The record is from RNAcentral.